This 349-nucleotide ribosomal RNA is filed under the name uncultured Kribbella sp. RNAcentral describes it as "bacterial SSU rRNA". It matches the Rfam family "Bacterial small subunit ribosomal RNA", at positions 346 to 707 of the family's 1533-position model. Lineage: Bacteria; Bacillati; Actinomycetota; Actinomycetes; Propionibacteriales; Kribbellaceae. The record is from RNAcentral.
AGGCAGCAGUGGGGAAUAUUGCGCAAUGGACGAAAGCCUGACGCAGCAACGCCGCGUGAGGGAUGACGGCCUUCGGUUUGUAAACCUCUUUCAUCAGGGACGAAGCGAGAGUGACGGUACCUGCAGAAGAAGGCCCGGCCAACUACGUGCCAGCAGCCGCGGUAAUACGUAGGGUCCGAGCGUUGUCCGGAAUUAUUGGGCGUAAAGGGUUCGUAGGCGGUUCGUCACGUCGGGAGUGAAAACUCGGGGCUUAACUCCGAGCCUGCUUCCGAUACGGGCAGACUAGAGGUAGGCAGGGGAGAGCGGAAUUCCUGGUGUAGCGGUGAAAUGCGCAGAUAUCAGGAGGAAC